CUUAAAAUCCUGUGAAGGAGAUAUGCUGGCAGUGAGAAAGGCAAUUACUGCUGGGUUUUUUGCAAAUGCGUGUCAUUUAGAAGCAUACAGCCACAGUGGGAAGUACAAGACCAUAAGAGG
This is a long non-coding RNA of Morus notabilis, 120 nucleotides long. RefSeq lists it as uncharacterized. The record is from RefSeq and is a predicted model, not a curated record. NCBI's taxonomy places the organism in Eukaryota, Viridiplantae, Streptophyta, Magnoliopsida, Rosales, Moraceae. The transcript is spliced from 3 exons.